This 527-nucleotide ribosomal RNA is filed under the name uncultured eukaryote. RNAcentral's name for it is "eukaryotic LSU rRNA". The stretch from base 146 to 297 matches the Rfam family "5.8S ribosomal RNA". The record is from RNAcentral.
ACUAGUGAUUUCCGUAGGUGAACCUGCGGAAGGAUCAUUAAUCACAAUCCAAACCUACUCAACCAAGCCAAUCUGUUGCAGGGCGCAAGCCUAGCAGCUAACAACCUAACCAAAAGAAGCAUAACUAAGCUUUAAACCUAAACCAAAUCCUCAACGAUGGAUAUCUAGGUUCCUACUACGAUGAAGAACGCAGCGAAGUGCGAUAAGCAAUGCGAAUUGCAGAGCCGAGAGUCAUCAGAUUUUUGAACGUAACUGGCGCCAGGGAGCUCUCUCCCUGGCAUGCUUCUUUCAGCGUGUGCUUCUCUCCUGACCUAAACCUUAAUGCGAUAGAUGCCCUUCUAUUGCUAAGCUCGAAAGCACUCUGUACCCUGCAGCCAAAGCUUCGGCUGAGGCACUCAAUGCAGUAGUCACAUUCUCAAAUGUGAACUCAUUGAGAGUAGAGUCAGUGCAUGUUUACAUGCCAGUGCUUAGACACUCAAAUUUUACAUAGCAUCUGAUAUGAAGUAGGACCACCCGCCGAACUUAAG